GCGCGCGCAGGCGGUCUCUUAAGUCUGAUGUGAAAUCCCCCGGCUCAACCGGGGAGCUGCAUUGGAAACUGGGGAGACUUGAGUCCUGAAGAGGGGGGCAGAAUUCCACGUGUAGCGGUGAAAUGCGUAGAGAUGUGGAGGAACACCGGUGGCGAAGGCGGCUUUUUGGUCUGUAACUGACGCUGAGGCGCGAAAGCGUGGGGAGCAAACAGGAUUAGAUACCCUGGUAGUCCACGCCGUAAACGAUGACUGCUUGGUGGUUGAGGGUUUCCGCCCUGUAUUGCUGCGCCUAACGCAUUAAUCACUCCGCCGGGGGAGUACGGUCCCAGGACUGAAACUCAAUGGAUUUGACGGGGGCCCGCACAACCGGGGGAGCUGGGGGUUUAUUUCAUGCCACCCCGAAAAACCUUACCGGGCCUGGACUUCCUCGGACUUCUCUAAAAAUGAAUGGUGCCCCUU
Molecule: ribosomal RNA, 459 nt
Filed under: Priestia flexa
Lineage: Bacteria; Bacillati; Bacillota; Bacilli; Caryophanales; Bacillaceae
Description: Bacillus flexus partial 16S ribosomal RNA
Rfam family: Bacterial small subunit ribosomal RNA
Source: RNAcentral